AGUGAACGCUGGCGGUAGGCCUAACACAUGCAAGUCGAACGGCAGCACAGUAAGAGCUUGCUCUUACGGGUGGCGAGUGGCGGACGGGUGAGGAAUACAGCGGAAUCUACUUUUUCGUGGGGGAUAACGUAGGGAAACUGACGCUAAUACCGCAUACGACCUACGGGUGAAAGCAGGGGAUCUUCGGACCUUGCGCGAUUGAAUGAGCCGAUGUCGGAUUAGCUAGUUGGCGGGGUAAAGGCCUACCAAGGCGACGAUCCGUAGCUGGUCUGAGAGGAUGAUCAGCCACACUGGAACUGAGACACGGUCCAGACUCCUACGGGAGGCAGCAGUGGGGAAUAUUGGACAAUGGGCGCAAGCCUGAUCCAGCCAUACCGCGUGGGUGAAGAAGGCCUUCGGGUUGUAAAGCCCUUUUGUUGGGAAAGAAAAGCAGCAGGUUAAUACCCCGCUGUUCUGACGGUACCCAAAGAAUAAGCACCGGCUAACUUCGUG
Molecule: ribosomal RNA, 492 nt
Filed under: uncultured bacterium
Lineage: Bacteria
Description: partial 16S ribosomal RNA
Rfam family: Bacterial small subunit ribosomal RNA
Source: RNAcentral